Molecule: long non-coding RNA, 1383 nt
Filed under: Homo sapiens (human)
Lineage: Eukaryota; Metazoa; Chordata; Mammalia; Primates; Hominidae
Description: MIR22 host gene (ENSG00000282800.1)
Rfam family: mir-22 microRNA precursor family (bases 192-275)
Source: RNAcentral
AAGAGACAGCGCCGCCGGCCGUGGGGAGCGGACGCAGUGAUUUGCUCCCCCUCGUGCAGCAACCCCCACACCCAGCACCAGGCCCCCAGAACUCUCCUUCCAGCUGAACUCCCUGGGAACAAGUCAGUUGGGCUGAUCACUGAACUCACAUUUCUGGACCUGAGGAGCCUGUUCCUCUCACGCCCUCACCUGGCUGAGCCGCAGUAGUUCUUCAGUGGCAAGCUUUAUGUCCUGACCCAGCUAAAGCUGCCAGUUGAAGAACUGUUGCCCUCUGCCCCUGGCUUCGAGGAGGAGGAGGAGCUGCUUUCCCCAUCAUCUGGAAGGUGACAGAAAUGGGCUGGGAAGGUCCGAACAGCAGGGUGGAUGAUACGUUUUGGGCAAGUUGGAGAGCCUUUGCCCAGAUUGGCCCAGCAAGGAGCGGUUUUAGAUUAGAGACACUGGCUGGAUUGAGGAGUAGAAGGCUCAAACAACCCAAGGCUUUCUGCCUCCGAGAUGUGGCACCAUAGUGCGGUGCCCUGUGGCUUCACCGCCCUACUUCCACCUCCGCCCAGCCUGUAAUGUUUAUAUAAGCAGCCUCAAGGACCAAGAACCAUCUGCGAAAGGACACACACAGGAAAUUCAUAAAAGAAAUCUGAAUGGAUAAAACCAUGAAAAAAAGUAUGCUUCAUUAGUAAUUAAAGAAAGGCAAAUAGAGCUGGAAGCAUUUUUCCCUUAGCAAACCAUAACAGAAAAAAAUAAGACCCAAUAUUGGCAAAGAGACUACUGAAAAAACAUUCCCAUACAUUGCGUGUGGGAGUAUACAUCGGUGCAGGCUUCCUGGAUGACAGUUGGGUGAUAUGUGUCAUGUGGCCUAAAAGCCUCCAUGUCAUUUGACCUACGAAUUCUAUCUUUGGGAAUUUAUCCUAAGAAAAUACUUAAGGAUUUAGUUAGUGAUAAGAUGUUCAUCCCAGCAUUGCAAUGGAGAAAAAUGGGAAGCAAUGGUUUGGUUGGGAAUUUAUUCCUUUUCUGCUGUAACGAAAGUUUGCAAUAGGGGAUUGCUUAAGUAAAUUAUUGUAUCUCCAUCCAGAUGGUGGAGUACCGCGCAGACAUUAAAAGUCAUGUAAAAGAACAUCUGACUGAAAGAAAAAUGCUCCUUGAAUAUUAAAAGGUUGUAAAAAUAGUGCAUGUUAUGUGAUUUCAAUUUUGUUUUUUAAAAUAUGGGUGUAUGCUUGUAUACGUAGAGCAGAUAAAAAAGACGGAAGGCAUACUAAAAAAUGUUGAGUGGUUAUCUUUGUAUGGUGGAACAAAGUCACUGUAAUUUUCAUCUUUGGUUUUUCUGUAAUUUCCAAAUUUUCCACAUUUUGUAUUUCAUAUAAUAUAAUUUAAGAGAUCAGUGUUAUUAUU